Molecule: ribosomal RNA, 2362 nt
Filed under: Triticum aestivum (bread wheat)
Lineage: Eukaryota; Viridiplantae; Streptophyta; Magnoliopsida; Poales; Poaceae
Description: partial small subunit ribosomal RNA
Source: RNAcentral
AUAAGAUCCCCACGCUAUUACUAAGCGUGUCCACUGUUGCACCAUCCACCCCGCCCGAUCCACUCCCAACCCACCUCUCUCUCUCUCUCAUCCCUAAAAAACUCUCUCACGAACUCACCUGCUCCUCUCCCACGAUCUCCUCGCCGCCGCCACCACCCACGCCGGUUACGCGCAACACUCCCCAUGGAAGCCACCGCCGCCGCCUCCCUCGCGUGGACCCUCACCUCCUCGCCGCUCCCCCGCGGCUCCCGCCGUAGCCGUGGCGCCGGAGCGGCGGAGGAGGGGUAGGGCAGUGCUCGCCGCGGCGGCCUCGACGGGCAACUACGUGGUCCGCCAGAGAAAUUGCGCAGGCGGCAACGAAGCCCUGCGCAGGGGCGGCUAAUUAAGGGGUCGCCGGGAGCCCGUGAACCGCCGCGAGGGAUGCGAGAUCCCAGCGGGAGCCGGCGGAGGAGGGCCCGCCGGACUCGCCAAGGAGACGCGGCCUACCUCCUCCAUGCGGGGAAUCACCUCGAGGUAAGAAGCAAAUAGCACAUGCAGGAGGUAAGAAGCAAACGAAUGUGUGUGCUCUUUCCUUCUUACCCUCGAGCCGACUCCCGGAACCACAUCGAGUUGGAUUUCCAAUUGCACGCACCUACCUACAAAGGUUUGUUUGUUCGGGUCGAUUGUAUUACGAGUUCUCCAUUGCUGUGUUCUCAGAUCUGACCCCUGCUAUGAGAAUGAACAGGGACACAAAUGAUGAUUUUGUAGAGCGUGGUAGCCGAUUAAUUGUCCCAAAAUCAAAGUAGAUGUGCCACGCCGUAUUAGACUAUUUCUAUUUUUCUGCAUUUUUUGGAGGUGUCCGGAAGAUAGAAUGUAACUGCAGAAUUCAACUACCGCAUUUUGGCGAACACCUAUUCGGUAGUUCAGAUGAACCAAGAUUAGAUCACUCACACCGGUUUUACAGGUUUUUCUUUUGUUCACUGUAUUUAAUAAAAUUGGCGACAAUGGAAGGCCUCUCGUGCAUAGAUUAUCUGAAACCAUUUCAAUGUAUGGCCGACUGUGGAAUCUUUCUCUCAUCCUAUGGUCAACUCUUGGGUUCUCACAGCCUCAUUUGCCUUACUAGCUGGAAAUGAUUAGCCUGAUGUAGUUUGUCCCCUCGGUUAUUUCACUCUGUUAAAAGAAUGUGCCUUUGUCAGGCCACUCUAGUUUGUACUGUUGUUGCUGAGGCAUACCCAAUUCUUGAUUAGCAAGCUAACUUUGUCUUAAUCAGCAUGGUCAUCAACGAAUAGAUGAGCUAUCAGUUAGUAGCGGUAAUACGAGAAAAAUAAGGAACCGACAGAAAGGAUAGGAAGUAGCUAUCUGAAUUAGAAACCUGAUACAGUAGAAGAUAAUGUGUUUUGUUCAUCGGAGGUUAGUUUAUAUCUACGUGUUUUGUUCCCCUAUCUUCAAAUGUUAUGUAGUCACUCAGUUAGCAGUUUCUUAACUGUUGUAGUAAAUAAUUAAUUUCCAUAAUUGCUUCAUUUGCUCUUCUGCAGAAGCCCAGUUAUACACUUUACGCGAUGAAAUUCACAGCAAUACAGUUCAUCAACCUAUUUAUUGUGCCAUCUUGGAAUAAUGUUCGUGGAGUAGCUUAUCUCGUCAAGGCAACUCCUUAUCUUAAAAGACUCCGGCUAGAAGUUCAGUGAGUUUGGAACCGAUGGGGGACAACAGCAAAGUCUCUGAAGCCGAAGUUCAACCUCUUUGUCAAGCAGGUGUCCGCCAGCAUUGGGAUGGCAGAGCCACACAUUGAUAUCAAGUCUUUCAUUGCCUUUACCGUGUUUCUUAAAGCCUUUGGUGGUCUCCUUUUCAUCAUCAGCAGCUCGUUCGAAGCAUUCGUACCGGUCUCCGCCAGCAUUGGGAAUUUGGGAUGGCAGUGCCACACAUUGAUAUCAAGUCUGUCAUUGCCUUUACCAUGUUUCUUAAAGCCUUUGGUGGUCUCCUUUUCAUCAGCAACAACUCGUUCGGAGCGGUCGUACUGGGCAAUGGAUAAAAUCUACUCUGGAUAGUUGAAGAGGGAGUACAUGCUAAGUUGACUUUUUUUCCCUACGGAUUUGCUUAUCGUGAAGAUGCUUGCAAGGAUGCAAGAGGGAGCGGAUCAUUUGGAGAGAUAGGAUGCCACUGUUUGGUGUUUUUAUGUAUGUUGGUUUGCUUGUAACUGUGUUUGCACUUGCUGGAAGUAAGUGACUUGGCAAGAAGUGUAGGUGUUUUAAUUGAAGGCAUGAAAAGCCAUGACAAUAUGUAUGCUCUUAUAGGAUGUGCUCUAAUGCCGUUGGUUUAUUAUAAAUCUUGGAUUAGUAAUGAUGUGUAAUGUUGCUGGUUUAUUGCAAAUAUGUGUUUGUUUUAG